Molecule: regulatory RNA element, 134 nt
Organism: Bacillus sp. B-jedd
Lineage: Bacteria; Bacillati; Bacillota; Bacilli; Caryophanales; Bacillaceae
Rfam family: Ribosomal protein L20 leader
About the family: This family is a putative r-protein leader autoregulatory structure found in B. subtilis and other low-GC Gram-positive bacteria.
Source: Rfam
AUAGGGAAGAAGAAGCACCCGCUUCUCACCUGGUUGACGCGGUCUGCUGUUGACAGGUUUUACGUAAAUGGUUUGUCUUGAACCUUUUUUAUGUACGUAAGUGUGGGUGUAUGCACCCGCACUUUUUUAUUGUA